UGUGGUGUUAGAUGUAUGUCCUAAAAGUUAAUAUGGUGAUACAUUGUAAUAAAUUUAGGACAUAGUUUUGUACUUAAUAUAUUGAUAUGAUCAAUAAAAGGAUAAUAUUUUUUCAUUCAAGUAUGAUGUAUCCUUAAAUUAUCCAUGAAAUUAGUUUCGAUACAUAUUCUCAAAGUGUUUAGAAUUAGAGACAUGUAUAUAAUUUUUAAAUACUUUCGAUCAUAGGAUCAUCAUAAAGAUGGUGAUAGAUCUGAUAGACUGAUGCAUAAAUUACUUCUUUCGGGAUAGAUGAGUCUCUGAUCUACUGUGUAGAGACAUAGAGUGAUGAGUGUGGAUGGCUGUUAGAGAAUAACUAGUACUGAGCGUGACCAUAUGAGAGAUCAUUUAGAUUUCUAUUUGAUUGUCAGUGACUAUCUCGAUGCUGUAGUUGUGUGACUAAUCUUUUGAC
RNAcentral lists this long non-coding RNA (448 nucleotides) under Elaeis guineensis (African oil palm). RNAcentral's name for it is "long non-coding RNA (EGUI_LNC077462)". The record is from RNAcentral. Lineage: Eukaryota; Viridiplantae; Streptophyta; Magnoliopsida; Arecales; Arecaceae.